AAAAACGACUCUCGGCAACGGAUAUCUCGGCUCUUGCAUCGAUGAAGAACGUAGCGAAAUGCGAUACUUGGUGUGAAUUGCAGAAUCCCGUGAACCAUCGAGUCUUUGAACGCAAGUUGCGCCCAAAGCCAAAUUCGUUUGGUUGAGGGCACGCCUGCCUGGGUGUCGUG
RNAcentral lists this ribosomal RNA (170 nucleotides) under Memecylon ulopterum. RNAcentral's name for it is "5.8S ribosomal RNA". It matches the Rfam family "5.8S ribosomal RNA". Rfam says of the family: 5.8S ribosomal RNA (5.8S rRNA) is a component of the large subunit of the eukaryotic ribosome. It is transcribed by RNA polymerase I as part of the 45S precursor that also contains 18S and 28S rRNA. Functionally, it is thought that 5.8S rRNA may be involved in ribosome translocation. The record is from RNAcentral. Lineage: Eukaryota; Viridiplantae; Streptophyta; Magnoliopsida; Myrtales; Melastomataceae.